RNAcentral lists this ribosomal RNA (438 nucleotides) under uncultured bacterium. RNAcentral's name for it is "bacterial SSU rRNA". It matches the Rfam family "Bacterial small subunit ribosomal RNA", at positions 29 to 464 of the family's 1533-position model. The record is from RNAcentral.
AUUGAACGCUGGCGGAAUGCUUUACACAUGCAAGUCGAGCGGCAGCGCGGGGCAACCUGGCGGCGAGCGGCGAACGGGUGAGUAACACAUCGGAACGUGCCCAGACGUGGGGAUAGCCCGGCGAAAGCCGGAUUAAUACCGCAUACGAUCUAAGGAUGAAAGCGGGGGACGUCGCAAGGGCCUCGCGCGUUUGGAGCGGCCGAUGGCAGAUUAGGUAGUUGGUGGGGUAAAGGCUUACCAAGCCUGCGAUCUGUAGCUGGUCUGAGAGGAUGAUCAGCCACACUGGGACUGAGACACGGCCCAGACUCCUACGGGAGGCAGCAGUGGGGGAAUUUUGGACAAUGGGCGCAAGCCUGAUCCAGCCAUGCCGCGUGCGGGGAAGAAGGCCCUUCGGUUGUAACCGACUUUGUCUAGGGAAGAAACGACCUUAGGAGUAAU